ACUCAAACAGCACCACCAACAAGAUCAACAGGAUGCACUCUUUCUCUCAGAAAAUGAAGCUACAACUUCAAUACAUUCACUAUAUAUAUGUUUAGCUUUCAAGCUUCCCUCUCCUUUUCUGAAACUGAUAUCAUUUCUGUUUUCAGAAUAUUUGACCUUCUCUGCUCAAGUGACAGCAAGGGCAUUCCAUUGUUUCUGUAUUGCUGCGUAGUCCUCAAUGUAUCUAAUGCAGAGCUCAGAGGCUUUCUCCUGAAACAC
This 258-nucleotide long non-coding RNA is filed under the name Arachis ipaensis. RNAcentral describes it as "long non-coding RNA (AIPA_LNC000254)". The record is from RNAcentral. Lineage: Eukaryota; Viridiplantae; Streptophyta; Magnoliopsida; Fabales; Fabaceae.